Molecule: long non-coding RNA, 209 nt
Filed under: Coffea arabica (coffee)
Lineage: Eukaryota; Viridiplantae; Streptophyta; Magnoliopsida; Gentianales; Rubiaceae
Description: long non-coding RNA (CARA_LNC008366)
Source: RNAcentral
CUAAAAGGUCAGAUUUUGGUGUCCCAAAAGCCCCAAGAAAAUCCGUGGAUGUGCAGCUCCUUCUUUGUCCAAGUGAUUGUCCAAGUUGUCUUGAGCUUGUGUGGUGAAUUUGGUGUGAAUUGGAGCAAGAAAAUGGUGGAGGAAAAAUUGUGAAAUUUGGAGUGUGAGAGAGAGUAGAGACCGGCGGUUAUGGUGAGGGGAAAGGGAGG